UCAAAUGAAUUGAUGAGCUCAUCAGGCUGC
This 30-nucleotide small RNA is filed under the name Bombyx mori (domestic silkworm). RNAcentral describes it as "ovarian small RNA-6735". The record is from RNAcentral. Lineage: Eukaryota; Metazoa; Arthropoda; Insecta; Lepidoptera; Bombycidae.